UACGAAGGGGGCUAGCGUUGCUCGGAAUCACUGGGCGUAAAGCGCACGUAGGCGGAUCUUUAAGUCAGGGGUGAAAUCCUGGAGCUCAACUCCAGAACUGCCUUUGAUACUGGGGAUCUCGAGUCCGGAAGAGGUGAGUGGAACUCCGAGUGUAGAGGUGAAAUUCGUAGAUAUUCGGAAGAACACCGGAGGCGAAGGCGGCUUGCUGGGCUCGGUCUGACGCUGAGGCGCGAAAGCGUGGGGAGCGAACAGG
Molecule: ribosomal RNA, 253 nt
Filed under: uncultured bacterium
Lineage: Bacteria
Description: partial 16S ribosomal RNA
Rfam family: Bacterial small subunit ribosomal RNA
Source: RNAcentral